GGCGGUUGCUCGCAGCGCUGUACCGCUGCGAGCAACCGCCACAGUUGCGUCUUGCGGAGGGAC
Molecule: small RNA, 63 nt
Filed under: Curtobacterium sp. ER1/6
Lineage: Bacteria; Bacillati; Actinomycetota; Actinomycetes; Micrococcales; Microbacteriaceae
Description: caulobacter sRNA CC1840
Source: RNAcentral